This 695-nucleotide long non-coding RNA is filed under the name Rosa chinensis. Its description in RNAcentral is "sRNA RchiOBHm_Chr6g0258421". The record is from RNAcentral. Lineage: Eukaryota; Viridiplantae; Streptophyta; Magnoliopsida; Rosales; Rosaceae.
CCUCUCGGCCGCGUCUUCUCUCUCUCCCCGACCUCUCUUUCUCGCACACUCUCUCUUCUUCUCUCUGCAACCACCGGAAAACACCAUUUCCGGCCACCAUCUCACCACACCGCCACCACCAAUCAACGCAGCUUCUGAAUCCGACCCAAACCCAAGAAAAAUCUGAACCAUGCAUCAACCUCUCACUCUUCUUCUUUCCUCUGCCACCACCGGAGACUCCAGCUCCAGCCACCAUCUUGCAACACCGCCGCCACCCUUCAAACUAGCACCCAAAUCCAACCAAAACCUAGCCAUUCCGCUGUCGAUCGAAAGAUCCUAACCACCGCAUGCAUGCCCGGAAACCUACGACGCCAUGCCAUCCGCGUUCACUGGUCUUCGAACCUUUUCCAUAACCACUGCCGCCACCAACGGGUUCAGGGCAGGCUGUUCAUCAACACUCCAAAGCCUCGUCGCCGACUCGACGCCGGAGAACUCCAUAUACGCCUUCGCCGGCGAUCUGGGCUUCUACAAGGCUAGGGUUACGACCUCUGACCACGAUUGAGUGAAGCCAUCACCUUGAAGAAGCUUAGGACUGCACGAAUCACCUUAACCCCUUAAUCCCGACUUCUGAUUCUGACCAGAACCACCGUAAGCGCUUCACGUGCCGCCGAUGGCGCGUGAGAUACUCCAGCUCCGCCGUGAUCUUCACCGGCGUA